This is a non-coding RNA of Monodelphis domestica (gray short-tailed opossum), 7642 nucleotides long. NCBI's taxonomy places the organism in Eukaryota, Metazoa, Chordata, Mammalia, Didelphimorphia, Didelphidae. The record is from RefSeq and is a predicted model, not a curated record.
GAAAGCAAUGAAUAGUCAAGAGUAGGGAAAUUUGAGAUAGAAAUUUAUUGGAAGAAAAAUAUAAAAAGAGAUAAAUAUUUUUUUUAAAAUAUCAGGCCUCAUAAGUAGUAUUUAUAAGAGACAAUCUAUUGCCAAUUAGAUUAAUAAUCAGUUUUAAGGGAAUGUGGACUAAUUAUCAGUGAUUUCAGUCACUUCUAUAUAGAAACUAAAGUUAAUAAACAUUUGUAGAUAACUGAAUACUAAGGGAAUUUUCUCAAUUUCCUUAACAUUAUUUAUCUGCUUUUUCAAGCCAUUUUGGAUAGAAACGAUAGAAAACAGGAAGCCUGUAAAAUUUUGCAGAUCUGGCUCCUGGGUUAAGAACAAAGAGGCAGCAUCUUCUGAGUCCAAGAUGCAAAUAUAGCCCCUCUGAUUGUACCAAUGUUGUUCCCAUGAAUAUAUUUCCUAUGCUAAUUCUGUAUGAGUAAUCUGCCAAAAGUCAUUCAUAUACAUUUAGUUCAUUUUGUUCUGCAAUCUCUCUUUGAUUGCAAAUUUUCACCUGCCUCUUUUAGGCUUUCAAAAAGCAGGAGGAUCACUAUCUUGAUCUGUGUUCUUAGAUGUAGGGCCCCUCUUUCCUCUUUACAUGUGAUUGAAUAAAUGAAUAAAUGGAUGGAUCAAGGAUUUUUUAAAGCUCUUACUAUAUGUCAAGAACAAUGCAAAUGGCAAGGGAUAUAAAUACCAAAAUCAACAGUGAUUUCCUUAGGAAGUCACAGUGAUAGUGAAUAGAGACUUUGGAUAAUUGAAUUAUAUCCUUUUCAGGAAUUAACAUUUUCAGGGAAAGAAGGGAGAAAAAUAGAAGAUGUAUCACAUGGUAUGGAUUUGGACUGAGAAUAUGUAAUGGAGUCUAGCGCCACAUGGAUAUGGUAAACUAUUGCCAAUCAGGCAGAAUGGAGGGUAAAGAUGUAGCUCUGGGCAUAGAUUAAUUUGAACUUCUCUGAGACAGCUCUGCCUGGGAGGGAAGUGAUGUUUCUCUUCACUUGUUCCCUCCUUCUCAGUUACCCGUCAAACUUUGGUUGCUGAUCCCCCGCUAGUACACUGGGCACAUGCUAGGGAGGUAACAUUCAUAUGAGGAUGGAAUGACAAGCCUUCAGAGAGGAUAACAGAAUAGCAGGAAGGAAAGCUUUACCUCUAAAAUAUUUGCUUACAAACAACUCUGGAGGUAGCCCUAGAAUUUAUUUCUUAGAAAAUUCUUUCUGCUUCCUUGCACACUUUCCACUUGAGCUUUGCCAUCAUUUGGUGAUAUUGGUCAGUGACCAAUUUUCUGUUUGUAUUUUCAUUUCCCCCAAUGGAAAACUUGCAGACUUAAAUAUUUGGGGGAGGAAAGGUCAGUAAACUACAAUGAACAAAGCUCCAUAGCAGAAUCAGAGCCAAAUCACCAAGAAAACAACAACAACAACAACAAACCAAAACAUAUUGUUUGUGAUUUGAAAUCAAAUAAAAUUUUUAAGAAUUUUUAUGAAUACUGAUUAUUAAUUUAUUAUACUUAAAAGUGAUAUUCAUUGAUAAGUAGCCCAAUGUCACUUCUAAUGUAAUAAAAAUGAGAUAAGUUGUAAAAUGCAAUUUCAUUUUGGAUAAAAUUGUUUGACAAUCAUGCAAACUUAAUCAUGAAUUUAAAGAACUGAGGUUGUCUUAUGCAGAUGAUGACUAUUAUAGUGCUUGGCACCUGAAUCACUUAAUAUUUGUUGAUUAAAUUGCUAAAUUCAGUUCAGUGGUAGACUGGAUAGAGUAUUACCACUGCCAUCAAAAAGAAUUGUGUUCAGAUCCAGACUCAGGCACUUACUAGAUAUGUCUUUCUUUGUAAGGCACCCAACCUGUGACCAUUUCAGUUUUCUAAUGUGUAAAAUGGGGAUAACAAUAUAACAUCCAUUUGUUCUGAGGAUCAAAUGAGAUUACAUUUCCAAAAGGUUUUGCAAAAAGUUGUAAAAAUUAAAAGUGCUAUCUAGUUGCUUGCUAUUUCUACUAUUAUUAUUAAAUUGCUUUUUAAAAUAAUAGACACACAUAGAGGACACUGAAGGUUUAAUCAUAGACGAAGACAAACAUCCUGGAAAAUUUCUCUUUGGUAUGUCUUCUAGAUCCCAUCCAGGUGUCUCUUUUCACUACCCCAACAAUGUCUUAUCUGCACCAAAUGGCUAUCAUUUCCACUAUAAUACUCUUCCUAAAAAUUUAGGAAAACUUUGCAUUCCUCAUCAAACUGUAUUUGUUCUGAGUUCUUUUCCCACAUUAGCCUACCAAUUCUAACACCUGUUUCAGGAGUUACAUUCCAGAGACCCCUGCAAUAAGUAAAAAAUCAAGAAGUAGCGGCAUUAUAUUUAUUUUAUAAUUUAUAUAUAUGUAUAUAUAUAUACAUAUAUAUAUAUUAAGGUUUUAUAAACCUUACCACUCUCCUAUAAACCUUUUCCACACUCUUAUUAGCCUAUAGUCACUGAGCCAAUCAGCACCCAGGAUACAGAGCAGAGCACUGGGGAUAGGUUUGUCACCCUUCAUUCCAUCAGCCAAUAGUGUGCUGUGAUAAGUGUAACUCCACAAUAUAGAAUUAGAUAUAUAUUUUUUAAAAAACCCGUGAAACAGUGAAGUCUCAAUAAAUGAACCCCAAUAUAGAGAGGGAUGACUGUAUAAUAAAUAUUUAAUGAUUUGUAUUGUCCUAACAUGUUACUUAAUCAGAGAAUAUUUUAAUUUUAAAACUUUGCAAAUAAUUUUCUGAUGGUAGAAUUUCAUACAUUAAUAUGAAUGAAUAAGAAAUGAGAUGAAGAUAGGGAGGAGACAGAAGUAUCUCUCUUUAUUUUCUGUAAAGUCCCAAUAUCUAUAUUAUCAACUCUUCUUACUUGUAAAACUGACUCUGGUAACAUAUUACUUAUUGUUUGUAAUAUAUUUAUUUUUCUUUUAUAGUUUUAUUGGAAAUCUUCAAAGCUACACAUUAGGUUACAGGUCAAAAAACUAUUCAUUACAAUUUGUGACAAUUUUUUUCCAGGAGAAUCAUUUAAACCAAAGGUAAUAUUCUUGACUCCAGUACAAUUUCAGAUUAUAGUACCUUCUCUCCUCAAUUAUGGUAAAAAAAGAUGGUUUAUAUUCAGGAAUAUUCAGACUCCUUACUGUUACUGUCCCCAAAGUUUAUUUUUGCUUAUCCAUGACUUGUGUGCCUGAUGUCAAUAGAAUACCAUAAUGAAAGAUCAACUACUUUAGGGGAGUUACCUUUUGAUGAAUCUUUGCUAUGCCCCUUCUUAUGGAAGGAAGACUAGAAGUGGAUCAGUGAUUUCACUGAUAUAGGGGAUAUGAAGGGAAGGAAACCUCUAAAAAUAAAAAUGGACUAUUUCUUUACAAUUAUAAUCUUUAAGAGUUACCUAGAACAAUGAAAGUUUUAAAAGAAAACUUUGUCAAAGGACAGUAAGGUAAUAAAAAUUAAAUGUAGAACUGAAAUAAAUUCAAUCUUUUUGUCUUUGAGGUCAUCUGUCUGCCCUUUCUGUCCUACUGUGUCUUAAGCUUACAAUUUAAAGUUAAAAUUCAAUUGGCAAACUGUAUAUAUGUAUAUAGUGUUAAUUAAUAUUUCUAUAGCUGUAGAGUUGAAAGAGAUCCUGGAGGGAAAUUAUUCCAAUCAUUAUAUUGAUUCAUUUAGGGGUACUUUAAGAACAUUGGACAGUGUCAGGUUAGACAUGGAUUCAAAUCUUAAAUUCAAUAUUUGGCUAUUUAACUAUGGGAAAAUAACAUCUUUUCUCUGAGCUAUUAUUCCUUCAUUUGAAAAUUCAGGCUAAUCUUAUUGCAGAAACCAACCAUCAGGAUCCCAGUGAGACUUAAAAUAGGUGAAGCAAUAUGGCGUUAAAGACAAUCAAGAAUGUAAAAGAAAAUAAAAGUCCUGUUAAAAAGAUCAAGAAAUAUAUGGCGAUGGAUUCCUAGCAAUGGACACUAAAAAGAAGCAAAAUGGACAAGAAGAGAACCAAUAGAGAAUCCUGUCAGAGAAGGCAAAGGAAAUUGAGGAACUACAGCAGCUGAUAAAGAAGUAGCUACUAUGGCAAUGGAAAGGAUGUGAAAUAGAGAUUGUGAUCUCUAUACAUGGAGGGAGUAUUAAUAGUGAUGAAUGAAAUCAUGUAUCCUUUCAGUCUAUCAAAGCAAUGCAACAAAUGAGGAUGCUUAAAUUAACCAAUCAAAGGCAGGCUGGAACCAGUUUAUAUCAGCUUGCAAGAGCUGACACAAAUUUUUACUGUCAAGAUUUACACCUCAAAUUUCAGCAACUACUACAUAGCUUGAUUUAUUAUUGUGAUGUUUGUCAAGAUUAAGAAAGUAACAGAGAAAAUAUUAAUAAUGCAUAUUAAACUUAAAUGUGUUGUCUACUUUUUUUUUUUCAGAAAGCUGAUGGCUAAAUAUUUACCAGCACUUUUGCUGAAUUUAACCUUCACAUGUAUAAAUAAGCCUUUAUACAAUGUUUAGUUUAUGAAAGGAACCUAUGCUUCCCAAAACCUGUAAUAACAAAUUUAAAAAUGACUGCUUUCCUCCAUUAGUUCUUCCAUUUCUUUCAUUGGCUUGGAGUUAGAAAGAACCUUAGAAAGGAUCUAGUCUAGGGCUUCUUAACAUGCGUUUGAUAGAAUUUCAUAAUGCUUCUUUUAAAAAUUUUGAUGACUUUAUUUCAACAUAUUUUCUCAAUAAUCUUAUGCAUUUUAUGCACUUAACCCCCUACGCUUUUUUUCCUGGAAGGAGUGCAUAGGUUUUACACAGCAUCCCAAGAGCUCCAUGACAGAAAAGAGGUUUAGUAUUCCUGAUCUAAUCAAACCAAGUAAAAUGUAAGUUCCCUAAAUUCAGGACUGAUUCACUUCUGUCUUUAUUGUUUUAAGUAUAUAUAAGUAUACUUGUUAUUCGGUGGUCAUUAAUAAGCGACUAUUGAGUUGAAUUUACUUAAACUUAAGUGAAACUUUAUUAAAACAAGGACAUCUCUGAGAUAAGAAAUCAUUCAACAUGUCUAAAUUUCCAAAUGGUACUAUGGGGGGAAUCUUUCAAGAUAGCCCACUUCUGUAUAGAUCUAAAAAUUCAGUAGUUUUCCCUUAUUAACCCUAAAUUUGGCUUUUUGUAAUUUCCUCCCGUUGGUCUGAUUCCUAACCACUGGAAAUGAAGCAGAACAAAUGUUAGGCUCUUGUCCACGUGACAGAUCCUGAGAUAUUUGUCUCCGGGUAUCAUAAGAUCCUUGGCAUUUUGGCUUUCCAAGUAUACCUACUUCCUUAGAAUGGUCUUUAUAGGACAUGAUCUGAAGGUUAUUCACUGUUCUGAUGCUUACUUUGUUCUUUUCCAUUUUAUAUAUAUUCUGCUUAAAAUAUGGCAUGUAGAAAUGAAUUAUAUUCUGUGUGUACUCUGAUGAAAAAAUGAGUAAAACAGGUACUAUACUUCACUACUUUUUAGCUAUUCAACAUAAAAUCAUAGUAGUUCCUGUAGCUGCCUAAUUAUACUAUUAACAUAUUGAUCUCGUAGGUCAUUAAAAUCCAAAUCUUGGACAAAGGUUAUAAGUAGUCAGUAUUCAGGAGAAGAAAUCAAAGCUGACUGAAGUCAUUAAAAAUUCUCCAAAUCACUAUUGAUCAAAGACAAAUUAAAAUAAAUUUGAGGUUAUUACCUCACACCCACCAGAAAAGACAAAUGCUAGAAGGUCUGAGGGAAAAUACUCACAUUAAUGAAAUGUUGCUGGACUAGUGAACUGGUUUAAGAAUUUUGGAAAACAAUCUGGAAAAAAAUUCUGUGAAUCUUCUCAUUCAGUAAUACCCUCACUAUGUUUGUACCUCCAAAGAAAUAAAAGGAUAAGGAAAAGGUCACUUAGGUCCACAAUAAUUUAAUAAUUGUGGUGGCAAAAGUUGGAAAUUAAGAGAAUGCUCAGUUGGGGAAUGGAAAAAGUUGUGGCAUAUGAUUGUGAUAAAGUACUUUUGUAUUAUGAGAAAUUAUAAGUGAGAAAAAAGGUACAGGAGUAAGAAAGAGGAAGGAAUAAGGAAGGGAAGUAGAAUAAUUCGGUGAUUUUUGAUUCAGACAUGUUAGCUCAUUGUGAUCACCACUUUACUAAAUAUUCAAUAAUUAUGUUUUUAAUAAAUCAGUCUAUAUUUCUUCUAAGAAUAAAAGUCAAGGUCAGUGUUCAAUUAUUUUAUAUUCUAUUAUUUUCUUUUAAAAAUGGCUUUGCAACAAUACUCACUUGCUUUCUCUUUCUACCCUUAAGACCCCUUUCUUCUAGGAGAACUGGUGAGCUCUUCCGAGAAACUCCUUGGAGAGGACAAGCUCCUCCUUUAUUCUCAAGUUUUUUUUAAGAGCCUAGACCCACUUAUUUUUUUAUUUGUAUUUGAAUCCCUAGUAUUUAUCACAGUGCAUGGAGUAUAGUAAGUACUUUAUAAAUGCUUGUUGAUUUGGUAUUUCCUUGUCCUUUCCUAUAAUACUGCCCUUAUUCUACACUGUUUCAGAGUUUGAGUCUAGUAACUUGAACUAAGUACCAUCCAAUAAUGUAAAAUUGCUCUAUAUAUUUCAUAUGUCACCGCACCAUUGGAAUUUGGCAGUUAUUAUUCUCUCUCUAGUACAAACUAUUCUCAUUAACAGAGUACAUAAAAGAACAUAAGUUUGGGGUAGUAGGAAAUUAUCAUUAUUUCAUCCAUCCCAGGUAGUGAUCCUGUACCUUUAAGGACAUUCUCUUUUUCUUCUGUAUAUUGCAGUUUUAAAACAUUUUGUUCUCCUUGGCUUUACCUGCUCUCUUCAGUUUAUUUUGAAUUUUAGCAAUCCACACAUCCUUUUUUACAAGAUUGCUUUGCUUUAUGAUACUCCAAAACCGUUUAGCUAAAGAAGAAAUCAUAGAAACAAUUAAUAAUUUCAUCAAGGAAAAUGACAAUGGCGAAACAUCCUUUCAAACCUUUUGGGAUGCAGCCAAAGCGGUAAUCAGAGGCAAAUUCAUAUCCCUGAAAGCUCAUAUUAACAAACAAGGGAGAGCAGAGAUCAAUCAAUUGGAAAUGCAAUUGAAAAAACUCGAAAGCGACCAAAUUAAAAACCCCCAGCAGAAAACCAAAUUAGAAAUCCUAAAAAUUAAGGGAGAAAUUAAUAAAAUCGAAAGUGAUAGAACUAUUGAUUUAAUAAAUAAGACAAGAAGCUGGUACUUUGAAAAAACAAACAAAAUAGACAAAGUACUGGUCAAUCUAAUUAAAAAAAGGAAGGAAGAAAAGCAAAUUCACAGCAUUAAAGAUGAAAAGAGGGACAGCACCUCCAAUGAGGAGGAAAUUAAGGCAAUCAUUAGAAAUUACUUUGCCCAAUUAUAUGGCAAUAAAUACACCAAUUUAGGAGAAAUGGAUGAAUAUAUACAAAAAUACAAACUGCCUAGACUAACAGAAGAGGAAAUAGAAUUCUUAAAUAAUCCCAUAUCAGAAAUUGAAAUCCAUCAAGCCAUCAAAGAACUUCCUAAGAAAAAAUCCCCAGGGCCUGAUGGAUUCACCUGUGAAUUCUAUCAAACAUUCAGAGAACAGUUAACCCCAAUACUAUACAAACUAUUUGACAUAAUAAGCAAAGAGGGAGUUCUACCAAACUCCUUUUACGACACAAACAUGGUACUGAUUCCAAAACCAGGCAGGUCAAAAACAGAGAAAGAAAACUAUAGACCAAUCUCCCUAAUGAA